GGCAGUUCUCAGGUGACGCACCCCAGAAUGGGGCUCCCUACCCUCUGGUUCCAGGUGUGUCACCCAAGAACAGCU
Non-coding RNA from Myotis davidii, 75 nucleotides. Lineage: Eukaryota; Metazoa; Chordata; Mammalia; Chiroptera; Vespertilionidae. The record is from Rfam.